RNAcentral lists this long non-coding RNA (6712 nucleotides) under Olea europaea subsp. europaea. Lineage: Eukaryota; Viridiplantae; Streptophyta; Magnoliopsida; Lamiales; Oleaceae. The record is from RNAcentral.
AUGUAACUCUCGAUGCAUAUGUAGCAAGAUCCCUUCUUACCAAUGGUCACCGACAACUGAGUGGCGGGUCACUCAACUGAGCAGCGAGUCACCCAACUCGCUUGCACCUCUAUAUCGGAGUCACGUAGGCAUCUUGAGGAAAUGGGUUGAUUGAUUUUCUUCAAACAAGGCAAUCAAUUGUACUUCGAGUUUGUGAUUUCGUGAAUCUAAAUCUAUAUCCAUCUACUCGAGAAAUUAAACCAAAAGGAAAGAAGAAAAUGUCAGAACCCUCGUCAUCAAGAAUAAUUUUCAGAUAUUUCCAGCUCAUUGCAUUGAAAUCCUCGCCAAAUAAUCUAAACAUCGUCCAAAUUCUCACGUUUCGUACUUCGCUAUUAAUUUCUUCGAGAACCCAUUUCUCAUCAUCGCCCAAUGUUGCAAGAAUUUUCGACAAACUGUACCCAAAUGCGGAAUUUUCGCCGAACAGAAAUUUUAUUGGGUUCAGAUACUUUUCUUUAAAGAAUGCAAUGGGUUCCAAGAAUUUGGUAAAAGAUGCGGCAAAUCCAGCAGUGGCGGUUAAGGACACUUUUUUGUGGUACAAAGAGGCCUUCUGGAAGAGAAAUUAUCUGAUGUUGCUGGGUGCAGGUGGGAUCGUGGUAAGCAUUCUUGCUCUUUCAUCACGUUUGCUGUGAGUUUUUUACAAUUUGUAUCUGAUUCUGCUCUAUAUUGUUCAUUUAAUUGUUCAGUGUAUUACAUGCGAAGCAGUUACUGUUGCGUAAGCCAAUUUAUUGAGGAGCAUAUUAGCAAUUAAGUUACGGAAAUUUUUUAUUGGCUUUCUCAUUGUGAAUCAAAAAUUAGAACUCACAUUCAUUUUGAAACAGGCUUCUCUGAAUUCUGUAUAACUUUUAAUGUUUGAAUGGUGAUAUACUGAUGAUUGAAUUAUGAUCAAUUGACUCCUCGACCAAUUUACGUCUAUCUCAAUUGAAGCAGACUAUUUUUGGGAAUUAUCCAUUUCAUUUAUGCACUGGAUGGCGGACGCCGCUUGAGACUGCAAUAUUUUAGCAUGUUGUGUACAGCAGAGGAGAUAUUCUGUGCCCUGAUUCAUGUUUGUAUCCUUUUAUAAGGGGGAAAAAUUCACUGAAAAAUCAUAGAUAGUCUUGCUUGAUAUUCCAAGCUCCUUUGAUAUUGUAAAGAAUUUCCAUAUAGAAUCAUCACACCUUCUUUUUUUUGGAAGAAAUUGAUUGUAAGAUGCUAAAAGUUAUGAUUCAACUAUGCCUUCUUUUACAUUUAUCCUGGUUCUUUCACCUGUAUAUGCUAUCUACCAUUCUACUGUAGCUUAAAGAAAGCUCUUUCGUACAACAAAUCAAAAUAGGAAAUUGAUUGUGAUCCGCAAAAAUUAUGAUUCGACUGCAUUCUUUAUUUUACAUUUAUCCUGUCUCUUUUACCUGUUUAUCUCCCAUUCUAACGUAGCAUGAAGAAAGCUCAUUUAUCCAACAACCGAAAAAAGGGAAGCAUAACAAUGGUCAAAAUAUGAGUGGCGAGGCAUGGUUUCCCUUUGGCCUUCUGCAUUAAACUUGUCGCGAUUAAAUAGAUCGAGGCAAAAAAAGGAAAUUUGUGGAGAGAGUGGAAUCCAUAACAUUUUAAUGGGAUUUAUCUGUUCGAACAGUGAGAUAAUUUAAUAGAAUCCCCUGCAUAACCCUUUUCGUGAAAUGCUAUUUCAGCAUGUCACAGUUGUCACUUACCGAGUUAUCCUGAUUCUGAAGUUGUUCAGUUCUAAUAGACUAGACAGGUCUGCUGACUUCUAGGUUUAAUGGCUGUCAAGGUUAGUACUGGUAAAUGAUGUGGAAUCAUAUCUAACUUUCCUUCCAAUGAGAUUUUGUGGAACUCACUUAGCACUGUUGGUAGGGUAUUCAGUUUUAUCUUUUCCCGUAAUAUAAUCAUAAAUAUAUUUGCUUAUUUUCUCCUUUAAGGGCUUUUAUUUUCGUCCAAGAAUCACAAUUAAUCCCAAUGAGGUUUAUAAAAUGGCCAUAAGGAAACUAAAUAAUCUGCUGGAAUCCUCGUGUUUAUGGGUGCUCCCAUAGGACAAAUGUGAGUGUAUAUGUGAUGUCAGGAUGUUUUAUUACACUUGAGAACUUCUGGUGAGAUUUAGAAGCCAAAUAUGUUAUUUUAUUUUUUCAAUACAAGAUUCGGAGAGGAAGAGAUAGUAGCUGUUGAAGUUAUGAAGAAGAAAGAACAGGUUUUCCUCUGUACUGGCUGCUUAUGUAUUCCUUUACACGAAGCAACUUUGUCUGUAUUUGAGGGAUUGGCUGCAUUGAUUUCUCUUGCUUUCUGAAUGUCCUUGUGCAAGUCAUCGGAGGUUGUAAUUGUAGUCAAGAAAACUGUUGCAUAUGUCUUGUUAAGACUUGUUUUUCAACCGUGGUGUAACAGUUAUUCCUACAUGAUAGGGGUUAAAGUAGUUUAAAUUUUUCUGGAGAAGCCAGAUGCCAUUAAAUAUAAGAUGCAGUUAACAUUGCUCUCAAUUUUCUUUCUGCAGUUUGAUAUGCAAUUAUUGGGAUGAAGAGCAUGACCGGCUGGAAUACUGAAAGGGAACUUCAAAAAGCAGAAAGCAAGCAAGCAAGCACCCAGAAGAAACUGAUUCACUGCAAUUUCCCAAUAGUUCUCAUUUUUUUCUUGUUCUUUGCAAUGAAAGGUUAGGUCCUUGAUCUUCGAAAGAUGUAUUUGACGUGCGGGUAAAAGGUCAUACUUCGUCUGUUGCGCUGUAGUUAUUAUCCUAUCAACUUUUUGCUUGUCACACUUUAAAUUGAAGAGAAACUAUAUGUUGUAUACUCGUGUUAGUGCUCAACUAUCUCUGUCGAAUGCAAAGACUUGACGUCUUGACCUAGUCGAGAAUACGAGUAUCCAACAAGAAGGUUUUUUUAAAUGGGUAAAUUACAGUAAAUGUUCUUAACUUUUACAGUUCGUCUCCAACCUUUGAUAAAUAUUCUUCUUCUUUACAUCACUGCAUCCCCAUUUUUUACAGUACAAGGAGGAUCUCUCUGGUCUUUUGCCAAAUAUGGCACUGAACAUUUUUGGCAGAAUCCGAGAGGUGAGAAGUUCCCGCAUUCUGGGUUUUAUUGCUGAACAUGGGGGAUUUCUCACCCAUUUUCUGCCAUUAUUGGCAACUUUUAUUUUUGGGUUCUUUCCUUGUUUAUGAAUAUAGUUUCUUUCAUAUUUUAAUUAAAAAUAAUGAAUCAUCAUUUUAUUUUGUUUUUUUAGUUUUUUUUUUAUUAUUAUUAUUUUUUUUAAUGGCCCAAGGGGUUGACUAACAGAGAAUUGGAUGUCAUCCAUUCAUUUAGAAGAACGUCGCCAAUUAUCAAAGGCUGGGAAUCCAAGAGAUUGGGGACGUAAGUGCAAAAGUGAGUAAUGGUUGGGUACAUUUCAAUUCAUCAUUUUAAAAUUAGCUCUAAAGUACUUAUCCACUUAUGAUGAAAUACAUGUUGACGUUUUUGAGGAUAAGUAAUUAGCCUCUCUGUUCGUAUCUCUUUUUCGAAUUUUGGUCUUGAUUGGUUCAUAAAAUUGAAUGGUCAAUCCUUCCCUGAAAUCUCUAUUCGAUUCUUCUACAAGAUAUGGGUAUGCAAGCCAUGUUUCAAGAAAGGUAGGAGAAUAGAAGAAAUCAUAUUUUCAUACAAUAUCUUAAUUGAAUUAUAUGUAAUGAUCAAUAAAUUAAGUUGAAUUAUAUCCUUUGAUAGGAGCUUUCUAUCCUGGCCCUAGAUAUGAGUCUCGCUCAUCCACUCCAACAAGAAAGGAUCAAAGGAUUGAGAGCAAUGAAGUAGGCGAAGUACUGAUUAGAUUUUGAGUUGUCUAAACAAGUAGUAUACAUGAUUUCAAGAGUUGAACAAGAAUGAAUAUCAUAUAAAAGAGUUAACACCAGUCUUUUCUUCUGGCAUUCUAACAUUUGUAUGAUUUAUAUUAAAAUUAUUUUUUUAAUAAAUUUUGAUAAAAAUUGAUUGAAAGAUUAAUAAAAAUUAUAAAUUUCAAAAAAUAUGUGAUUGAAAAUAAAUUGGAGAAAAUGAAGCCAAAUGGGGGCUCAAUAAAUCUCCCAUGAGAGCUUUUUCUUACCUUGCCAUAAACAAAGAAUGUAAGCCUUCAUUCUUAAUAGUAAUAGUUCCAAGCAUGUGAGCUCAGCUUAUACAUAACGUUGCGAGGAAAAUUAUAGACAUGAACAAGGAAUCUUCAAGCACCCCGAUCUUUUGUCUCACACGUGUCUUCUAAAAUGUCAUGUGUCGUCUUCAACUUGUCCAGUGACACGUGGUACAAACCCAUUACAUCCCCCAACUCUAAUCUAUAUAAAUCCAUGAAGUAUAUUCCAACUUCCACAAUAUCAUAUUGAAUUAUGGAAACUGUUGAGAAUAUCGGAAGAAACCACCAAAACCGGUUGCUGAUGUGGAAGAGUUAGUUAGAUUAGUUGAUUUUCUAUUAAUGCCCAACUGUAAACAACUGUAUAGAAUUUGAUUCUUUCAUUCUCUAUUUAAGGACCACCUGAUGUACAUUUCACGUGAACUUUUAUCUUCAAUACAAGAAUUUUUUCAUACUCAUCUAUAUUUCAUACUCUCUCAGAUCUAGAUUGUAGUAUCUGUUAGUUCAAUCUCAAGAUGGUAUCAGAGCAUAAUGAUGCUUCUGCUUCAGCUCCUUAGCCUUUAGUUUCUGAUCCUCCUGCUUCAGUUCCUGCAUCUGCAGCAAAAGCAGAGGACGUUUUCAGUCCCUUUUUUCUACAUCAUGGAGAUAGUCCUGGUCUCUUGAUCGUUUCUCAGUAGUUGAAUGAAGACAACUAUGCAUCAUGGAGUCGAUCUGUUGAAAUGGCUCUGAGUGCCAAAAACAAGCUGUGUUUCAUCGAUGGAUCCUUAAGCAAACUUGAUGAAGGCGAUCCGGUCUUUCCAGCUUGGAAGAGGUGCAAUCAUAUGGUUAUUUCAUGGCUUUUGAACUCCAUUUCCAAAGAACUUGCUCCUAGUAUCCUGUAAAUUGAUACUGCUGCUGCUAUUUGGUCUGAUCUUAAGGAGAGGUUUUCACAAACUAACGGACCACGUAUCUUUCAAUUGAGGAAGACAAUCACUUCUCUAACACAAGAUAAAUGUUCAGUAAGUACAUAUUUCAUUAAACUGAAGACACUUUGGGAUGAGCUUGGGUGCUAUAGACCUGUUCCAGCCUCUUUGGUGAAGUUUCAGCAGAAGGAAUAUGUCAUGCAGUUCCUGAUGGGCUUGAAUGUGAGUUACUCUCAGAUUCGAGGUCAAAUACUAUUGAUUGAUCCAUUACCACCAAUUAACAAAGUCUUUUCUCUAGUUGUACAAGAGGAGAAGCAAAGAGAAAUUACAGCUAGCAUCACACACAAUCUAGAUUCUGUUGCUAUGGUUGCUAAAAAUUUCAAUAGAAAUCUUGCCCAAGCUGCUAAUGAAGGAAGGAACAAUUACACUGGAUAGAACAAUAAGAAGGAGCGUCCUCAAUGCAGUCACUGUGGUCUUCUUGGCCACAAAGUCGACAAAUGCUACAAAGUGCACGGAUAUCCACCAGGAUAUAAGUUUAAAAACAAGAAUCCUGUGGUUCAUGGAGUUGCAAAUCAAGUGGAAUAUGCUCAUGAUGUUGACACUGAUCUUGCGCAAUUCUCAUUUACUAAGAAUCAAUAUCAAUAGUUGCUAGCCUUGAUUCAACCCACUAAUGAAGCAUCUUUGCCAUUCACAGGCACUCGCACCAUCAAUUCUCAAAAUGCAAGCACCUCUGGUUCACAAGAGCAUGCCUUAGCAAAUUUGGUAGGUACAUCAUGGUUUUUGCCUCACAAUGCAUCAGUAUUUAGUCAGUGCUUUUCAUCUAAAUCAUAUAAAGGUUCUGAAAUUUUAAGUGUGAAUUAUGAAUGGAUUCUAGACACCGGUGCUAUAGAUCAUAUGGUGUGUUCAGUUUAUUUACUCACAGAAAUCACAGCUACAGUUUCACAAUUUGUUAAGCUUCCAAAUGGUAGUUUAGCAAAAGUUACACAUAUUGGUUCAGUUAGACUUUCAAACUCGAUUGUUCUGGAGAAUGUUCUGUGUGUGCUAUCUUUUGCAUUCAAUCUGGUUUCAGUCAGUUGCUUGCUUAAAACAGUCAGAUUUGCUCUCAUUUUAUUGUGCUUUAUACAGGACCUAUGCUCAUGGACGACGAUUGGUCUGGCUAAAGAGAGAAAUAGUCUAUUCUAUAUGCUGAAUAUCACUUCCCCACAACCUAAACAUUUUGUUAAUUCUAUAACAUCCACAAUUUCUGAUUUGUGGCGUCUUAGGUUAGGUCAUCCAUCUUUGCAACGCCUAAAAAUGUUGCAACCUGUCAUUUCAAAUUUGAAUGUAAAUACUAUACAUCAAUGUGACAAUUUCCCUAUGGGUAAGUUGCACAUAUUACCCUAUGUUUCUAAUGAAAUAAAGAGUUCUGCUCCAUUUGAUCUAGUACAUGCUGAUCUAUGGGGUCCUUUCUCUAUUACCGCUAUUGAUGGUUUAAAGUACUUUCUAACUCUCGUUGUUGACUUUACUUGAUGUGUAUGGACUUGCUUGUUAAAAUCUAAAACACAAUCUGUCAUUCCAGCUUUCUUCACUUUAAUUGAGACACAAUUUAAUCUCAAGAUAAAGUGUGUUCACUCGGAUAAUGGUUCAGAAUUUCACCUUAGAGAUUUUUUUACAUCUAAAGGUGUUAUACAUCAAAAGAUUUGUGUUGAAUCACCCCAAAAAAAUGGGGUAGUCGAAAG